AAGAGUUUCUCUGUUCUCUAAAAUAAAAACAGAGUGGUGGAGUCAUUAUGACCCUCUUAGAGUUUCCAGUUUCUCUAAAAAACUGGUGGCGAGCCUGCUC
This 100-nucleotide non-coding RNA is filed under the name unclassified sequences. Its description in RNAcentral is "wcaG RNA". It matches the Rfam family "wcaG RNA". The record is from RNAcentral.